AGUGAACGCUGGCGGUAGGCCUAACACAUGCAAGUCGAACGGCAGCACAGUAAGAGCUUGCUCUUACGGGUGGCGAGUGGCGGACGGGUGAGGAAUACAUCGGAAUCUACUUUUUCGUGGGGGAUAACGUAGGGAAACUUACGCUAAUACCGCAUACGACCUACGGGUGAAAGCAGGGGAUCUUCGGACCUUGCGCGAUUGAAUGAGCCGAUGUCGGAUUAGCUAGUUGGCGGGGUAAAGGCCCACCAAGGCGACGAUCCGUAGCUGGUCUGAGAGGAUGAUCAGCCACACUGGAACUGGGACACGGUCCAGACUCCUACGGCAGGCAGCAGUGGGGAAUAUUGGACAAUGGGCGCAAGCCUGAUCCAGCCAUACCGCGUGGGUGAAGAAGGCCUUCGGGUCGUAAAGCCCUUCUGUUGGGAAAGAAAAGCAGCAGGUUAAUACCCCGCUGUUCUGACGGUACCCAAAGAAUAAGCACCGGCUAACUUCGUG
RNAcentral lists this ribosomal RNA (492 nucleotides) under uncultured bacterium. RNAcentral's name for it is "partial 16S ribosomal RNA". It matches the Rfam family "Bacterial small subunit ribosomal RNA", at positions 29 to 507 of the family's 1533-position model. The record is from RNAcentral.